Mus musculus (house mouse) is the source of this 774-nucleotide long non-coding RNA. RefSeq annotates it as predicted gene, 45928. The record is from RefSeq and is marked validated. The transcript has 4 exons. NCBI's taxonomy places the organism in Eukaryota, Metazoa, Chordata, Mammalia, Rodentia, Muridae.
CUCCCACUCCGCCAGCCUCUGGGAGAGGAGCCGCGCCCGGCCGGCCCGGCCCCCAGCCCCAUGGACCUCCGAGCAGGGGACUCGUGGGGGAUGUUAGCUUGCCUAUGCACGGUGCUGUGGCACCUCCCUGCAGUGCCAGCUCUUAAUCGCACAGGAGAUCCAGGCCCUGGCCCCUCCAUCCAGAAAACCUAUGACCUCACCCGCUACCUGGAGCAUCAACUCCGCAGCUUAGCUGGGACCUACGUAUCACAAGGCUGCAGCGCUGGAGUCGGGCAGAGCAGAUGGGCUUGAAGCCCCCCCUAGAGGUGUACCAAGUGUUGAAGGCACACCCUGAAGACCCUCACUUCCAAUGCAGCCUGUGGCAUCUCUACCCACUCUGAGGUACCCCCACGUUGUCCUUCUCUGGGCACCUCCUAGCCACCAAGAACUUCAGGACAGACAUCAUGGCCUGCUCUGCUCAUUCCAACCUUGGAGAAACAGCAGGCUGACUGUGGAGGUCUUCCUGGUUCAGCUUCUUCUCCAUCUAAACAGCAGGCUGCUGAAGCUCCUGGGACCUGUGAAGCUGAGCACCUCCACGCCCUAAUCAUGACCACCAGAUGCCCACCCGCCACACCCCUGACCUACGGUGUGGCAAAUCCAGCACAGGCUGGCAUAAACCAGAUGUCGGCAGAUAACCUAAAGGGCCCACCUUGGGCAUCUAGCUGAGGGCACAGAUGAGUGAGUUAUUGGAUCAAGGAGCUCACUAAUGCUUACAAUAAAGUACAUUAAGCCUGA